This 387-nucleotide ribosomal RNA is filed under the name uncultured bacterium. RNAcentral's name for it is "bacterial SSU rRNA". It matches the Rfam family "Bacterial small subunit ribosomal RNA", at positions 28 to 416 of the family's 1533-position model. The record is from RNAcentral.
GACGAACGCUGGCGGCGUGCUUAACACAUGCAAGUCGAGCGGUAAGGCCCUUUCGGGGGUACACGAGCGGCGAACGGGUGAGUAACACGUGGGUGACCUGCCCUCAGCUCUGGGAUAAGCCUGGGAAACCGGGUCUAAUACUGGAUAUGACUCCAUGACGCAUGUUGUGGGGUGGAAAGCCUUGUGCGGCUGAGGAUGGGCCCGCGGCCUAUCGGCUUGUUGGUGGGGUGAUGGCCUACCAAGGCGACGACGGGUAGCCGGCCUGAGAGGGCGACCGGCCACACUGGGACUGAGACACGGCCCAGACUCCUACGGGAGGCAGCAGUGGGGAAUCUUGCGCAAUGGGCGAAAGCCUGACGCAGCGACGCCGCGUGAGGGAUGACGGCC